RNAcentral lists this signal recognition particle RNA (148 nucleotides) under Gorilla gorilla gorilla (western lowland gorilla). RNAcentral's name for it is "Metazoan signal recognition particle RNA". It matches the Rfam family "Metazoan signal recognition particle RNA". From Rfam's summary of the family: The signal recognition particle (SRP) is a universally conserved ribonucleoprotein. It is involved in the co-translational targeting of proteins to membranes. Lineage: Eukaryota; Metazoa; Chordata; Mammalia; Primates; Hominidae. The record is from Rfam by way of RNAcentral.
GCCGGGCGUGGUGGUGGGCGCCUGUAAUCCCCGCUACUCGGGAGGCUGAGGCAGGAGAAUUGCUUGAACCCGGGAGGCCGAGGUUGCAGUGAGCUGAGAUUGCGCCACUGCACUCCGGCCUGGGUGACACAGCAAGACUCUGUCUCAA